This is a long non-coding RNA of Acanthopagrus latus (yellowfin seabream), 568 nucleotides long. RefSeq lists it as uncharacterized. The transcript has 2 exons. The record is from RefSeq and is a predicted model, not a curated record. NCBI's taxonomy places the organism in Eukaryota, Metazoa, Chordata, Actinopteri, Spariformes, Sparidae.
GGUCGUCACAGUUACAAAAUCUCAUUCGUACAAGAAAAUACAAGAGGAGAGAAAAAGAAGAUCACAGCGACUUUGUUCCUCCAUCUCAGCCGGCUCUGAUCUGCCCGAGGAUUUAAGUCUCGCUCUGCGCCUCUCAAGUAUCUUCAUCCAGGUCAUUCGACUCGCUGACUCUGCUGAGAGAGAUUCAAUCUGAGCAGGUGAUACAUGAGCAGUUUUCACCAUCAGCUCCACCUGAUGCAGACAGACGAUGAAGAGCAGCGACGCCGAGAGGACGCCACCCUCGUGUUGACCAGAGAUUUGUUCAGGAGAAAUACUUUCCAGCCGAUGACGAGGUCGCUGAAGGUUUAAUGUCUCAACGUUGCCCUUCCUGGAUAUCUCCGUCACAGCCGCUCAUUAAAAUUCACAAUGUGUUGUGACGCACUAAUAACUGCUGCUCAUCUCCCCCCUGCAGCCUGCAGAGGAGCCUCUUUUUUCUCCAUUUACUGCUGCUGUCACACUGCUUAUUUCCAUUCACUGGCCAGUUGGUUUCCCUAUUUAAAGCAAAUUAAAAGCAGCAGUUAGCCAUUGA